Molecule: long non-coding RNA, 1769 nt
Organism: Pantherophis guttatus
Lineage: Eukaryota; Metazoa; Chordata; Lepidosauria; Squamata; Colubridae
Source: RefSeq, a predicted model, not a curated record
GUUGCUUAGAGACGCGGGGAUCCGAUCCUUGCGCGGCUCGGAAAAUGGCGGGAAAAGGCGGCAGCGGCUCUGAGGGGGGGUUAGGCGCCUCAGCUGAGGCAACGCUUCACCGGGGAUAUUGCGGUAUCGGAAUCCGGUGCCAUCCUUACCGCCUCUCCCUUCCCCACACCUUCUUAGGGCCGGGACGCCUUUCCACCCUUCAUUCGUUCGUCGGCCAUCCUGAAAGAGGUCUGCAGAUCUCGUGCCUGUCCAGAGGGCGACCGCCAAUUCGCCUGGCCUUGAUGGCUCCUCCGAUUUUUUUUUUUUUAUUUUUGUUUUAGGCUUUUCCAGCCAUCUGAUUUAGUGAAAAGAUGAACCAGCAGUAUGUGCUGAAGCUGCCAAAAAAAGCCAACCCAAUCCUAGGCUGCAUUAACAGAGGAAUAGAAUCAAGAUCAUGUGAACUGUUAAUACCGCUUUAUAAUGCUUUGCUGCAAGUACCCAAAAUACUGAGCCUCAAUGAUACUUCUGCUUGCAUCCCUGGAAAGUGAUCCAAGUGCCUGCAGGUGUGCACGAGCAGCACCUCCACUUUCCAAACUGAAUCCAGAAGUUGCAGGGGAAUCUUACGGACAGCAGCGCAUGCGGCACUUUUUAAAGUUAUCGAAUAAAAUGAAAAUAGAAUUGAAUGCCUAAAAAAAUAACUGUCCAAUCUUGUAAAAAUAAUGUACUAUGUUCUCAGUUGAUGUAGAAUAUCUUGCAUAUUGUGUGAAAACCGGGUAGUCUUAAGAUGUACAGUUUUAAGAAUGUUCAUAACCUAAAAUUUUCAGAGAAUAUUUUCUGGGUUACUUUUACUAUGGUUAAAAGACUGUUAUUGCAGUAUUGGAUUGGAAGCCUUGGGUGAAUUAACAUUUAAUUCUUGAUGGGGUUGCACUGCCCCAGACAGACCGAAGGCACAACUUUGGGGGUUUUCCCUGGACUCACAACUCCUGCUCAAAGAGCAGGUGGAUGUUGUGGUUAGAAGAACCUUUGUGUAACUUCGUGUUGUGUACCAGUUGUGCCCUUUCCUGCACUCAGUCACUCAAGCCUAGUCAUCUUAUGUUGAACUAUUACAAUAGUCUCUACAUGGGGAUAUCCUUGAAGAGUAUUUGGCAGCUACAGCUGGUGCAGAACGCAGUUGUGCAGAUAGUUCUUAGGGCCCCUAGAGUGGCCCAUGUUACACCACUGUUCUGCAAACUGCACUGGUUGCCACUUUUGGUUGCCACUUUUGCUUCUGGGUCCAAUUCUAGGAGUUGGUUCUUACCUUUAAUGCCCUUCAUGGCAUGGGUUCAGGUUAUCUGAGGAACUGCCUCUCCCCAGUGGGAUUGGCCCACCCAACUGCGCUGGAGGAGUAGCUGUGAACUCUUGUUAGUCAAGGAAUUCUGGCUGUUCAGGAAAAGAGCCUGUUUUGCAGUGGCCCCUGCCCUCUAGAACGUCAUGUCCCCCCCCAAGGUGAUAUUCACACUCACCCUUUUGGCCCUUGAAGGGGUUUGAAGACCUGGCUCAGCCAAUUGGAGGUGGUUAAUGGACUAAGAUAAGACCCCAUUUCUUCCUUUUAUGCAUCUUGCUCCCUUCCUAUCUUUGCCAGUUUUAAGCUAAUGUUACUAGUUAUUUAUAUUUUAAUUGGUUGUACAAGAUGAUUGACAGCUGUCUAGAGCCACCUCUAGGUAAGAUGGGCAGCAUAUAAGUUAAGCAAAUAGGAAAGAUAAAUGUGUGGCCCCAUUUACACAAUAAAGUGAAGAACUAAUUACACUUGC